Molecule: ribosomal RNA, 3516 nt
Filed under: Triticum aestivum (bread wheat)
Lineage: Eukaryota; Viridiplantae; Streptophyta; Magnoliopsida; Poales; Poaceae
Description: partial small subunit ribosomal RNA
Source: RNAcentral
AUGACGAUGCCGCGAGACAAAGCGGCCCGCUGCCGAACCUCCUCCCCCGUGGCCAGCGCGAUGCCGCUGCUCUUCCUGCUCGUCAUGGUCGCCGCGGCGGCGGCGGCCACGCCGUCGCCGCCGGUGCCGCGCACGGCGGAGGUGCAGGCGGAGGUCGACGCGCUGCUCGCGUUCCGCGCGGCGCUGCGCGACCCCUACGCGGCCAUGGCUGGCUGGGACGCCGCCUCGCCCUCCGCGCCCUGCUCCUGGCGCGGCGUGGCCUGCGCGCCGGGCGGCACCGGCCGCGUCGUCGAGCUGCAGCUCCCGCGCCUCCGCCUCGCCGGCCCGCUCUCCCCCGCACUCGCCUCGCUCCGCCACCUCCAGAAGCUCAGCCUCCGCUCCAACGCGCUCUCCGGGGCCAUCCCGCCGGCGCUCGCCCGCCUCGCCUCGCUCCGCGCCGUCUUCCUCCAGGACAACGCGCUCUCGGGCCCCAUCCCGCCGUCAUUCCUCGCCAACCUCACCGCCCUCGAGGCCUUCGACGUCUCCGCCAACCUCCUCUCCGGCCCCGUCCCGGCCGCGCUCCCGCCCGGCCUCAAGUACCUCGACCUCUCCUCCAACGCCUUCUCCGGCACCAUCCCGGCCGGCGCCGGCGCCUCGGCCACCAGGCUCCAGCACUUCAACCUCUCCUUCAACCGCCUCCGGGGCACCGUGCCGGCGUCGCUCGGGGCCUUGCAGGACCUGCAUUACCUCUGGCUGGACGGCAACCUUCUCGAGGGGACCAUCCCGUCGGCGCUCGCCAACUGCUCCGCGCUGCUCCACCUCAGCCUCCAGGGGAACGCGCUCCGCGGCAUUCUGCCGGCCGCGGUCGCGUCCAUACCGUCGCUGCAGAUACUCUCGGUGUCGCGCAACCUGCUCUCCGGCGCCAUCCCGGCCGCGGCUUUCGGCGGCGAGAGGAACUCCUCGCUGCGCAUCCUGCAGCUGGGGGACAACCAGUUCUCCAUGGUGGAUGUGCCCGGUGGGCUCGGCAAGGGUCUCCAGGUCGUGGACCUGGGGGGCAACAAACUGGGCGGCCCGUUCCCCACAUGGCUCGUCGAGGCCCAGGGGUUGACGGUGCUCAACCUUUCUGGCAAUGCAUUCACCGGCGACUUGCCGGCGGCGGUCGGGCAACUUACUUCGCUGCAAGAGCUGCGCCUUGGAGGCAAUGCUCUCACUGGCACAGUGCCUCCGGAGAUUGGCAGAUGCGGUGCUCUCCAGGUGCUUGUUCUUGAGGAGAACAGCUUCUCCGGCGAGGUUCCUGCAGCCCUUGGCGGCCUCAGGCGGCUCAGAGAGGUCUAUCUUGGUGGAAAUUCUUUCUCAGGCCAGAUUCCGGCUGCUUUGGGGAACCUCUCCUGGCUGGAAACACUGUCAGUACCGAAGAACCGGCUCACCGGUGGCUUGCCAAAUGAGCUCUUCUUGCUGGGCAACCUGACAUUCCUGGACCUCUCUGAUAACAAGCUCGCCGGUGAGAUUCCUCCUGCAAUCGGCAGCCUGCCUGCUCUCCAGAGUUUGAACUUGAGCGGCAAUGCCUUCUCAGGCCGCAUUCCGUCGACCAUUGGCAGCCUGCUGAACCUCCGAGUUCUUGAUCUCUCUGGUCAGAAGAACCUCUCGGGCAAUCUCCCCACAGAGCUUUUCGGUUUGCCACAGCUGCAGCAUGUGUCGCUCGCCGACAACUCGUUCUCCGGCGAUGUCCCAGAAGGGUUCAGCAGUCUGUGGAGUCUGCGGCACCUUAACAUCUCAGUCAAUUCUUUCUCGGGGUCAAUCCCGGCCACCUAUGGGUACAUGGCAUCCCUCCAGGUGCUCUCGGCCUCCCACAACCGCAUCUCCGGCGAGGUGCUAGCAGAGCUCGCCAACUGUUCCAACCUCACCGUGCUUGACCUCAGUGACAACCAUCUGACUGGCCCAAUACCGAGUGACCUCUCGAGGCUUGACGAACUGGAAGAGCUCGACCUCAGCCACAAUCAGCUGUCCAGCAUGAUACCACCAGAGAUCUCCAACAGUUCCUCACUUGCCACUCUCAAGCUUGAUGACAACCAUCUCGUCGGUGAGAUACCGGCCUCUCUUGCCAACCUCUCGAAGCUGCAGACGCUUGACCUGUCAUCCAACAACAUCACAGGCAGCAUCCCUGUUUCAUUGGCUCAGAUUCCAAGCCUUGUGUCAUUCAAUGUGUCACACAAUGACCUUGCCGGAGAGAUACCGCCGGUGCUCGGCUCCCGCUUUGGCACACCCUCGGCAUUUGCUGCCAACCGAGACUUGUGUGGUCCGCCAUUGCAGAGCGAAUGCGGUGAGUACCGGCGGCGCCGGAAGCGACAGAGACUGCAGCGCCUGGCUCUGCUGGUUGGCGCCGUGGCUGCUGCAUCACUGCUCCUCCUGUUGCUGUGCUGCUGCUGUGCGUUCAGCUUGCUGCGGUGGAGGCGCCGGUUUGUUGAGCGGCGUGAUGGCGUCAAGAAGAGGCGGCGCAGCCCUGGACGGGGCAGUGGGUCGAGCGGCACAAGCACGGAGAGCCAGACGAAGCUGGUCAUGUUCAAUUCCAGGAUCACCUAUGCCGACACGGUGGAGGCGACGCGGCAGUUUGACGAGGAGAAUGUGCUUAGCCGUGGCCGCCAUGGACUCAUGUUCAAGGCCUGUUACAGUGAAGGAACCGUGCUGGCCAUCUUACGGCUCCCUUCAACCUCAGCCGAUGGCGCCGUGGUGGUGGAGGAGGGCUCGUUCAGGAAAGAGGCCGAGUCUCUAGGCAGGGUGAAGCACAGAAACCUCACCGUCCUCCGUGGCUACUACGCCGGGCCGCCGCCGGAUGUCCGUCUGCUGGUGUACGACUACAUGCCGAAUGGCAACCUCGCCACAUUGCUCCAGGAAGCGUCUCACCAAGACGGCCACAUCCUCAACUGGCCGAUGAGGCACCUCAUCGCCCUCGGCGUCUCCCGCGGCCUCGCGUUCCUCCACCAGUCCGGCGUCAUCCACGGAGAUGUCAAGCCACAGAACAUACUCUUCGACGCCGACUUUGAGCCACACCUGUCUGAUUUUGGGCUGGAGCCAAUGGUGGUGACCGCGGGCGCCGCCGCGGCCGCCGCCGCUGCAUCGACAUCGGCCACGACACCGGUUGGAUCACUCGGCUAUGUCGCCCCAGACGCGGCGACCGCCGGACAGGCUACAAGGGAGGGCGAUGUCUACAGCUUCGGCAUCGUGUUGCUGGAGCUGCUCACCGGCCGGCGCCCCGGCAUGUUCGCCGGCGAGGACGAGGACAUCGUGAAGUGGGUGAAGCGGCAGCUGCAGUGCGGGGCGGUGGCGGAGCUGCUGGAGCCGGGCCUGCUGGAGCUGGACCCGGAGUCGUCGGAGUGGGAGGAGUUCCUGCUGGGGAUCAAGGUGGGUCUGCUGUGCACCGCCUCCGACCCGCUGGACCGGCCGGCGAUGGGCGACGUGGUGUUCAUGCUCGAGGGCUGCCGCGUCGGCCCGGACAUCCCCUCCUCCGCCGACCCGACCACCCAGCCGUCCCCGGCGUAG